Molecule: ribosomal RNA, 641 nt
Filed under: Rhodococcus sp. LMR307
Lineage: Bacteria; Bacillati; Actinomycetota; Actinomycetes; Mycobacteriales; Nocardiaceae
Description: bacterial SSU rRNA
Rfam family: Bacterial small subunit ribosomal RNA
Source: RNAcentral
GGUGGAAAGAUUUAUCGGUGCAGGAUGGGCCCGCGGCCUAUCAGCUUGUUGGUGGGGUAAUGGCCUACCAAGGCGACGACGGGUAGCCGACCUGAGAGGGUGACCGGCCACACUGGGACUGAGACACGGCCCAGACUCCUACGGGAGGCAGCAGUGGGGAAUAUUGCACAAUGGGCGAAAGCCUGAUGCAGCGACGCCGCGUGAGGGAUGACGGCCUUCGGGUUGUAAACCUCUUUCAGCAGGGACGAAGCGCAAGUGACGGUACCUGCAGAAGAAGCACCGGCUAACUACGUGCCAGCAGCCGCGGUAAUACGUAGGGUGCAAGCGUUGUCCGGAAUUACUGGGCGUAAAGAGUUCGUAGGCGGUUUGUCGCGUCGUUUGUGAAAACCAGCAGCUCAACUGCUGGCUUGCAGGCGAUACGGGCAGACUUGAGUACUGCAGGGGAGACUGGAAUUCCUGGUGUAGCGGUGAAAUGCGCAGAUAUCAGGAGGAACACCGGUGGCGAAGGCGGGUCUCUGGGCAGUAACUGACGCUGAGGAACGAAAGCGUGGGUAGCGAACAGGAUUAGAUACCCUGGUAGUCCACGCCGUAAACGGUGGGCGCUAGGUGUGGGUUCCUUCCACGGAAUCCGUGCCGUAGCU